This is a long non-coding RNA of Ruditapes philippinarum (Manila clam), 2518 nucleotides long. RefSeq lists it as uncharacterized. Lineage: Eukaryota; Metazoa; Mollusca; Bivalvia; Venerida; Veneridae. The record is from RefSeq and is a predicted model, not a curated record. The transcript has 2 exons.
UAUAAGAUUUUUCUUAUAUUUUGAGAAAUUUUCUUAGAUUUAAGAUAAGAAUCCGCAAAAUACUUAAGUGGUAUUCACAACUGUUUUUUAUCUUAAGUUUUGUCUUAAGAUGGACAAUUUUUGUCUUAAAUAUAAGUCAGCUACUACCCUAUCUUAAAGUUAAGAAAUUUCUUAACUUGGCAGUAAAUCAUCUUAAAAAUGGCGGACGGUAAAUCGUCGAUUCGAUUGAAAACUUGCGUUUUUUACUAGUAUUAGAUAUAUCAUUGAGGUAAUCAACGCCAAUAAUUACAGCAAUAAUGAUUUCGUUCAAAGUAAUUUAUACACACGAUAAAUGUGAGUAAAACAAGGGAGUUAAAUCGGCAAAAAUUGAAGACGCAAAGGAGACGCUCAUUUCACAAACCGGAGUAUGAUCGUCAGUUUCUUGCUGAUGAUAUCACACUAUUCAUGAACCUCGGAUUUUGUAGUCAUCCAGACUGACAGUAGUAUGGAGAAUAAAGAUAUCAACAUAGUAGCAACAUGUUACAUAAUUUAUAAUGCUGCUGAACAUAGCAUUACUUCAUUGACCAAAUACAUGGAGAAUGAAUCAGGAUUAAUGUGUAGUGACUAUAUACUACCAUAAUGUAUCAGAUUUUCUAUCUGACACCUCAUGGCAUAUAACAUCAAAUAUCACCUGUUGCAACUUUAAAUCAUGGACACUUAAUACAUGAAAAACACAUAGAAACAAUGAAGACUUAACUGUGUUCAUAAACACUGGAACUCAUCAGAGGAAUCAAACUCUAGAAGACCACUAGUAAUCCAAAAGAUUUAUACCUGGGUACAUCAUCAAGGAGCCUUAUAGUCACUAACUUUUAAAAUGUUAUAUCUAUCACUGCCGAUUGUGUUCAUAAUGUGCCAGAGGAAUUGGUCCAAUGUUUUCAUCGAAAAACACAUGAACAUUCUAACUUGUGAGAAACUAGAAGACUAUCAAAGGGAUCACUAUGAAAGAAAAUUUCAUUCAUGGAAAAAGAACUGUGUGAAUUAAGAUCAGAAUUAACAUUUACUAGUAAUUGUUUUCAGUAAGAUUAUCAGCUCCACUUUUUAUAGAAGAAAAAAUGAAUGUUAUAUUCAUUCGGUAUGACUGACCUGUUGGUGUUGUUGAUUUUCAUUAUACAAUACUUACAAAUCUAUUACAUCAAAACUUUAUAUGUGGAUGAACCUUGAUGAGUUCAACCUGGUACCCUCAUUUUCAGGUCAAAAGGUCAAAGUCACUGGGACUUGUGGUAACCAAACAUAAAACUAGCCAUUUAAUAGGCAUUUACUGAGGAACAUCAGACUUUGACAAAUUGUAUGUACCACAUUUAACCAUGAUGAGACUUGUACCUGCCAUGAUACUCAUUUUGGGUCAAAGGUCAUGGUGAUGGUUCACAAUGACCUGUGUUGAUAUUUUUAAUAAGAUUUUUAAGGUCAAGAACACGGUUAUGAAAUGUGGGCACAGUCUGCUUAGUCAAAGUUGAGGUUGAUGUGAUUUUAUUCAAAUUAGCUAUUUUUGUAGAAAAUAUGUAGUUUACUAUCCAGAUAAGCACUGCUCUUCUGACAGCUCAAUCUUACUUGUUUUUUUUUUGCUAUCCUUGAACUAUUCAUGAAAAAUUGUUUGGAAUUUGUGAGCAUUUGAAUGAAAUUUUCUGUAUAAUUAGAACAGUCAAAACUGCAGAACUGGAGAUAUGAGCCGCGUCACGACAAAACCAACAUAAUGGCAGUCAGUGAUUUUUCUCACUUAAUUUGGAAGAGACCUUGGCCUCUUGAUUUUGGGAAAAAUUGUCGCUAAAAUUACUGAUUUGGGAAAUAAAAAAAGCUGCUUUAAGUUGAGAUUUUUGGGAAAACUGCAUGAUUUUAAAGAAAAUUUUAAUUGGGAAGAGGCCUUUUUUCGGAGUCUGUUAUAGAAGUAGGAAAAUCACUGAAUGGGUUUGCAUCCGCGCUGUCUGAUCAGGAUCCAUGCUGUUCGCUUACAGACCCUAUAACAAGUAAAGACACUGAUAGCGAACAGCAUGGAUUCUGAUCAGACUGCGCAGAUGCGCAGGCUGGUCUGGAUCCAUGCUGGUCGCAAACCCAUUAUGUUGGUUUUGUCAUGACACAGCUCAUAUAAGCUUGCAUACCUCUUAAUGUUCUAAACUACUAUGCCGGCAGCUUUCAGUAUGUCUAAAAACAUUAAUCUGCAGUGCAAGCACUAUCAUAAUGUCAAAAAUAGAAAGCAUAGGCUAUAUACUUGGUUAUAGCUUCUGAAAUAUGUAUUUUCUUCUAACAUGUAUGUAUGAUGUCAAAAAAAACUGUUCAUGUAAAGUUUUACAUUUGAUAAUGCAAUUAAAAGGGAAUAAAUAAUAAAAAAAACAACCUGUGACUUGUUUACACACUAGAUGAUUUAUCAUUUAGAAGCAGAACAGCUGAAAAGCAUGACAUGUAAUUUAAAUGCCUUCUUUUUGUAUUAUUUUAAAAGAACUUUUAUCGCAACAUUUCAAUGAAAAAAAAAUGAAAUUUAAGCCAU